This 408-nucleotide ribosomal RNA is filed under the name uncultured bacterium. RNAcentral's name for it is "partial 16S ribosomal RNA". It matches the Rfam family "Bacterial small subunit ribosomal RNA", at positions 28 to 526 of the family's 1533-position model. The record is from RNAcentral.
GACGAACGCUGGCGGCGUGCUUAACACAUGCAAGUCGAACGAAGUGGCGAACGGGUGAGUAACGCGUAAUCAACCUGCCCUUCAGAGGGGGACAACAGUUGGAAACGACUGCUAAUACCGCAUACUGAAGGAGGGGAUUGCGUCUGAUUAGCUAGUUGGAGUGGUAACGGCCCACCAAGGCGAGGAUCAUUAGCAGUUCUGGGCUGAUUAACGGCCACUUUGCGACCGAGACACUGCCCAGACUCCUACGGGCGGCAGCAGUGGGGAUUCUUCCGCAAUGUACGAAAGUCUGACGGAGCAACGCAGCGUGAGUGAUGACGGCCUUCGUGUUGUAAAGCUCUGUUAAUCGGGACGCGGUACCGGAAUAGAAAGCCACGGCUAACUACGUGCCAGCAGCCGCGGUAAUAC